AUUUAAAAUCUUCUUACAUAAAAAUUCGAAAAUAACCAUUGCGAUUUCCAAGAAAAAUGGCAACAGAGCGUAAUUUCUUUCUAUCUGGAUAAAAAUGGCUCUAAGAAGUUCUUUGCAAGCUACUGAGUUCAGUCAAAAUAAUCUAGUUCAGCAAUGGCACUCGAAUUACCGGACAGGCGACUUUCUGUCCCUUCUUAAACAACACUGGAGAGAGUAUGUCUUAGUUGCAUUCCAGUCGUUUGACGAUCCAGCUCGUGAGGAAAGGUUAACAAGCAAAUACCUGUUCAGCCCUCUUGAACACUUCCUUUGUAAUGGGGAACCAGAGGCUGUGUUCCAGCAGUUGAAAGAGAAAGACCAGCCAUCUCAGCUCUGUGGUCAUGUAUUUAAAAAUGGAGAGCCAACAUAUUCAUGCAGGGAAUGUGCAACGGAUCCUACAUGUGUGUUGUGUAUGGAGUGUUUCCAGACUUCUGUACACAAACAACACAGAUACAGGAUGAGUACCUCUGGUGGUGGGGGAUACUGUGACUGUGGAGAUGCUGAGGCAUGGAAGGCUGGGGUAUUCUGUGGCAAACAUCAACCUCAGUCAGGAGAGAUGGAAGAGAGUAAGAAUCCCAUGGAACUGUUACCAGAUGAUCUGACAGAUAGAGCAUCAGCAUUGUUUAUGGCAACCUUACGUUAUACAGUGGAGAUGUUGACAUGGGAACACAGUGACCGACUUCCUGACAACCUUCAGCCUGACGGAGAGCUCACUGACAACUACGUAUGCAUGCUGUUCAAUGAUGAAGUCCACACAUAUGAACAGGUGAUAAAUACCCUACAGCGUGCAGUGAGCUGUACACACAAGGAAGCUGUAGACUUUGCUACUACAGUUGACAGAGAGGGUAGAAGCACAGUUACAACAGGUUCCUUCUCCGACUGUGAAAAAGCUAGGAAUCUGAUUGAGAGGGACAACUCAGAAAUACAUAGGAGGUACACAUCUCGUCACAAUGCAAAGGCAUUGAAGGUACAGGUGAUGCAUACAGCAGUGGUUGCACAUCAACAGUUUGCCCUCCGUAUGAUACAGUGGCUCCAGAAUAUUAUAGCUCAGUCAGAUGGAUUACGUCGCCUGUUCUGUCUGCUAAGUAUGCAGCAACAAGAGAAUGAACAGUCAUUGAUGGAGAUACUGUUGUUAGCUGAUACACAACUGUGGAAAACUGCAAGAGUACAGAGUCACCAACUGAUGAUGGCAGGGGUUUUGAUGGAUCAGGAAUGUAAAAAGAAAUUUUCUAUAAUUUUUACAAAGCACUAUACCAAUCUGAUGAAGGCAUUUUGUAUGGAUGACCAUGAUCAUGAUGUCUCAAUCGCCUCGCUCUCCGUUCAAAUAUUUACUGUUAUAUCUCUGUGCUAUAACUCGCUUAUGAAGGAGUUUAUACUGGAUGACCAUUAUAGGACAGUCUCUGUAACGAAAAUGUCUGUACAAAUUUUCACAGUACCCACCUUGGCUCGACUAUUGGUAGCAGAACAUAACCUUCUUGCUGUGAUAUUACAAACAUUCUUACAGGCUUGUGAAGAGAAGAAGAACAAGGAUGGUAAACUAACAUUUGAGCGUGCAGGGACACAGACAUUUAAACGAGCUUGUUUCUCACUACAUGAUCUCAAAUAUGCAUUGAUAUGUAAACCAGGGCCUGGAGAAUGGACUGAUGAUUUACGGAAGAGUUUUAUAGAAGGUUUUGCAUGCUUUCUAGACCUCCUAAAGUUGAUUGAGGGCAUGGAUCAUGUCAAGAGACAGACAGGACAACAUCUGGAGUUUGAACCAGAAUGGGAAGGGGCAUUUAACUUACAGCUGAAAUUAGAAGAUAAUAUAGUGUUGUUUCUAGAGUGGUGUGGUAGUGAUAGGCAGGUAUUAAUAGAAGCUUAUAACAGAACUGUUGAGGUGUUCAAUAGCUGUAAGGAUAUUGACAGAUCAAAGAAAUGUCAAGUUUCAGUGAGUGAAUGGAAUGCAAGUUGUAUAAAAUAUGAUGUAAGCAGUCAGCCUAUCUCCAUACAUCUUCCUGUCACCAGGUUAUUGGCUGGUCUCCAUUCCUUUCUUGGUCAACAUGGGUUGUAUUUUGAAUCUCCUGACUGUUCUCUUGUUAGACCUGACCCUGCAGAGUUGAUAGAACUACCUCUGAGAGUUGAGGUGAUGGUAGCACAGUCUAAUGCCAAUAUGUGGAGAAGAAACGGCUACGCUCUAAUAAACCAGAUAUUUUUCUACCAUAAUGUGAAGUGUAGAACAGAAAUGUAUGACAGAGAUAUUCUCAUGCUACAGAUUGGAGCUUCUAUGGCAGAUGGAAAUGAGUUUUUGAUACAUUUGCUCUACAAGUUUGGUCUGACUGCCUGGGCAAAAGAGCAGUAUGAUAUACCGAGUGGACAAGAUGAUUCUCUAAGACAGACUGUUUUACUGGCAGAGGAAUUCCUUAAUCUCGUUGUGAUAGUUCUAAGUGAGCGGUAUAUGAUCGGAGUUGGGGAUGUUACUCGUGCAGAUAUUGUUAGAAGGGAGGUAAUUCAUCAGCUAUGUAUAUCUCCUCUAGCUCACAGUGAGCUAGCAAAGGCUCUGCCUGAAGAUACCAAUCAUGAAACUGGGCUAGAAGAUGUUGUGAAAGAUGUUGCCAACUUCAAGAAAGUCACAGUAGGAAAGGGAUCUCAAGGUGGAAAAGGAAAGUACGAGUUGAAACCAGAGUUCCUGUCCAGCUAUAAUCCUUACUUCUACCAUUAUACCAAAACAGACAAAUCAAAGUCUGAGGAAGCACAGGUAAAGAGAAAGAAAGAGAACAAUGAGAGCCAGGCUUUACCCCCUCCAGUGCCUCCAAAAUUUCAACCUCAGUUUGCCCCCAUAGUGAACCUCCUACAGUGUGAUGUCAUGAUCUACCUCAUGGAAUUGAUUCUGUCCCGUGCAGCGGCUUCAAGGUCAAGGUCACUGUCAGAAACACAGCUUGAGAGGAUUCUGCACUUGAUUGGGUUAGCCCUACAUGAACAGAGACGUGCAAUCACUGAUGGAAAUAAUAGUUUCGACUUCCUUUCCAAGGCCUGUGGCCAACUUAAGGAUGGUGGACAUGCCAGAAAAGAUGGCAAGUGUAUACAGUCACUUCUAGAUGGUAUAGUGAACAGUCAUAACUUCACACAUGACAGCAUUAGAGAUUUAGUCACCUGGACAAUCAAGACGUUAUCCGAGGUAAGACAAAUGAAGAAUGAACCAGUUUCCAUGGAAACAGUAGAGAAUGUGUCUUCACCGAGGGAUGAGAAAGCUAAAGCUGCUAGAGAGAAAAAGAGAGUUGCAGCUGAAAAAAGACGGCAAAAAAUCAUGGCUCAGAUGUCACAAAUGCAGAAAAACUUUAUAAAAGACAAUGCUGAGCUGUUUGAAAACACAAGCACAGAACUGUUCCCCAGGAUUGACUCAGAUAUGGAUCUCAGUGAGGCAGAUACUAGUUCAUUCCCAAUAGCUGUAGGUCCGCACAGGACUCCCCCUGGACAGACAGCGUCACUGUGUGGCAUGUGUAUACUGUGCCAGGAAGAACAGGAACUUACACUCUCUAAUAGAGCAAUGGUUCUUACUGCAUUCAUUCAAAAGUCUACAGUUCUUGCACUGACUCGUGGCAAUGCUCUUCUACAUGGUGAAGAACAUGAUCCAUUAUUGAUGAGAUCAGAUUUAAGGACUGGGUCACAUACAAGUUCUUGUGGUCACAUGAUGCAUGCAGAUUGCUGGCAAACGUUUUUUGAUGCAAUAUUGGCGCGUGAGAGAAGACGUCCACUGAGAUUUCGGCAUAAUUUUAGCUAUGAUAUAGAGAAGAUGGAGUUUCUAUGUCCACUGUGUGAAUGUAUAAGCAAUUCUGUGAUACCUGUUCUUCCUGCAAUAUUCCCUUCAACUCAACCAAGCCCCGACAGUUCUAAUCAUCUACAUUUCCAUGACUGGUUGGAUGGCAUACAUAAAACAGUUAUCAACAGUGUCAAAGAGUCAGAAGACUUUGAUGAUGCAGAGUAUCAGACCUGUCCAUUGACAACAGUCACCAAACAGAUGGCAGAGAAUGUAGCACAGAAAUUCCAGGCCCUGUGGUCCUGCAUACAGGAUGCUGGGGCCAGUGCGGGGCUUUCAUCAGAACAUAGAGAAAUGCUAAGGAAGUUUUCAAGGGAUGCAUAUUCUUUUGGUCUAGGAGUAGAUCCAGAUGAUGACAACUCUCGAGUCUCUAUCAUGGUUUGGAAUACUUGUGCCUUCUCCAUACAGAGCAUUGAACAAAUCCUGAGAGAUGAGUGUAAACCAUUGUUUGGUCAGAUGUCCAGUAGACAGAGUGACUGCCUGCGGUCAUUGGUCAAGGUAGCUGCUGCCUACAGUCCAGCCAUUAAUACAGACAUUGUCAAACAACAUUGUAUAAGACUUCUGUCAUUCCUGUUCCCAGAUGCAUGUAAAAAUAAGAAGACAGAGCAGUGUGUCCUAGAUGUUGACAUGUUUCACUACCUUGUUGCCUUGGUGAUGUCAUUACCCAGUCUGCACCUGGAUACAUCUGUGGCUCCCACUAACUACCUACAACUGCCCUCUGGUGGUGAUAAUGACCUGCAUACCCUACACCUAGUGAUGGCUGUACACCUUAUACAGAUACUGCUGCUGUUUGAUCAGGAAAGCUCUGGUAUGGAAGUGGAUGGAGAUUAUGAAGGAGAGGCUCUUCUUAUCAUCUAUAAUAAAAUACAUUCACUGGCAAACAUUCAGAAGGAAAAUCCACCAUUACCAUGGCAACUGUCAGUACAUGUGAGAAAAGCCAUGCUACCGUUUUUACGAUGUUCAGCCUUACUUUACCAUAAUCUCACAGGAGUUGCUGCCCCUGCUGAACUUUCAGAGACAACUGAAGAGUAUCUUAACAAAGAGUUUGACCUUCUCUGUAGAUAUCUUGGACUUAAUUUCCACAUGUCAAGAUUGGUGGAUAACCAUGGGGAACUUAUGGACAGUCUGAUAACAAGGUGGUGUAAGAAUACUGUACUGAAGGAUACAUUAUCUGCCUCUAGUCAGCCAUUGGUUCAGUACCCACUGAGGAUCAACAAACUGAUAUCUCUACCUGAAGAUUACAGUGAACUCAUUAAUCGGGUGUCUGCUUUCACAUGUCCAAAAUCUGAUGGAGAUGAUAGUCGAGCACCAACCAUGUGUCUAGUAUGUGGUCAGAUGUUGUGUUCACAGAGUUACUGCUGUCAGACUGAGUUUGAAGGAGUCACUGUAGGAGCUGCGACAGAACAUGCUUAUAAAUGUGGGUCAGGGGCAGGCAUUUUCCUCAGAGUACGUGAAUGUCAGAUACUGUUGCUGGCAGGUAGAACUAAGGGAUGUUUCGUACCACCACCAUAUAUUGAUGCUUAUGGUGAAACAGAUCAGGGACUUCGACGAGGUAAUCCACUACACCUGUGUAAGGAGAGUUAUGAUCACCUACAGAAGUUAUGGAUGUCACAUGCUAUACCAGAGACUAUUGCUCACAAUCUCGAAUCCAAUGCAACUUUACUCACCAUUGACUGGCAACAUCUAUGAUACUGUAGCAUCUAGAACAGCUUCUUCAACAGUUUGCAGGCUCAACUUGAAAUAGACACUCCAGUUUGAUUUUCAUGCUAGAUGCAUGUAGGGUUGGAAAAAAUGCUGUAACUGUUAUUUAUAGAGGGAAGAAUAUUUCCUAAGUUGUGAUUAAGGAUGUUCCCUCACCUUUGCUGUAUGAUCAGACAAUUCCUGUCAUAAUUAAAGUGGCAUCCCUCCAGAAGUAUGUCAGUUUAUUGGUUUGUAAGUAGAAGGAAAAUAUCAAGUUAUUCAGUGAAUUUUUAUCCAAUUUUGCAUAAUAUCACUCAUUAAGUAUGUGAAGUAAGUUGAAAAGUACUCUACCAAUUAGACUUGCAGCUGAUUUGAUGUUAAAAAAGAACAAAAUUAGCAGUACAUGUAUUGUUUAUCAUAAACAUAUUUUUUGACUGCUAUCGGUUUACAAAAAUUUGAUGUUGUAACGUGUAUAGACAUCAGGAGGCAGGACUCUUUAAAGUGAAGCUGACCUAGCUUUGAAACCAGUAUUUAACAACUCAGCUGUUACCAUUGUCAAAUAGUGGUAUAUUUCAAUUGAAGUUUGACACGUUAUUCAGUGGUCGUUUUAUUUAGAUAAAUAAAACUGUUACAUUCUGUCAUAGCCAUUGAGAAGUGACAGUAGCAGUAAGGAUUAAAGGUAAAAGUUGUUAAGUGUAGUAAUUGAAGAAUAAGAGCAUAUUAGCGAGUGUGUGAUACAGGCGAGUGUGUGUGAUACAGGCGAGUGUGUGUGAUACAGGCGAGUGUGAUACAGGUGAGUGUGCGAUACAGGCGAGUGUGUGUGAUACAGGCGAGUGUGCGAUACAGGCGAGUGUGAUACAGGCGAGUGUGUGAUACAGGCGAGUGUGUGAUACAGGUGAGUGUGUGAUACAGGCGAGUGUGUGUGAUACAGGCGAGUGUGUGAUACAGGCGAGUGUGCGAUACAGGCGAGUGUGUGAUAUAAGUGAUGUAAAAAAAAAAAGGUCAGAUAUGAUUGCUAUGAUUGUUAGGCAGAUUGAUAAUGAAUUAUGUAUGAUCUAUUUAAAGGUGGUGGAAAGCUAUCAAAGAUGAACAAUAAACUUGAUACAGAAGUGAAAAUGAUACGAAGUCUUGAAAAAAUGAAAUAAAAGUUGAGUUUGAAUUGUAUUUAAUGGAAUAUUUUGUUGGGGUUGUUACAGCUUUGAAGCAUCUUUUACCAGUUUGAUAUUAAAACAUCCUGUGUAUUACAUAAGUAGUAUCAGCUGACAUUCAGUGUUAUACAAGCCUGCUAGUAAAUGCGUUCCUAUGAUGUUUUUGUGACACUGCACAUUAAUUGCAAAUCUUAUGAAUUAAUAAUAUGCAGUUGACCUUUGAUAUUAAGCAUAUUACAUUAGCCCAGAUAGUUCAUAUAUUUUUGUUACUGAGAAGUUUUGUAUUAAGAUUAUUUUUUUUCAUUUAUUGUCUUUAUUUUACCUAAAUGUGUAGGACAAUUGCUGUCGAUGGUUGGUAGGUCAAGGUCAUAGUGAUUUCCGAACUGAAAACGGUUUCCACUCAGUUAUAAAGGAACACUGGCUGUCAGACUUCAUAGGGUGGUUGUCUUUUAACAGUUAAUGGUACUGUCCAAAUUGAAAGAUGGACAAGUUCAUUUUACAUUUAGCAGGGGAUGGGUUAAAGUAUGUAUGGUAGUCACAGGCUGAUUAGACUGAGGUUGGUUUAAGAAGUAUUUGUUUAGUAAGAUUUUCUUAAGAAAUGAAUUCAAGUAAUUGUGGUAGACUGAACAGCUUUGUAUGCAAACAUGUCAUGCAAAAUCAAAAUGGAUUUCAGGUAAAAGCUUGUUUGAUUUUAACAGUUUACUACUUUUUCUGUUUGUUUCCCAUGUUAGCAUAGAUGUACCUUAAUGGACUGUUUGUAAAUUAGGUAGUCUUUAGCUUACCGCUUGUAAAUAAUGAAAUGAAAUCAUCCUUAGAAAUGACCUGUUCUGUUUUAUCAAGGAUUGUUAUUUAUAGUUGAACUUUGUGCUGUACUCUCAUGUUCUCUCUCAUUUAGGAUGUGUCUGUUUACUAGGUGAUAAGUUAGAUGAAUGUAUUUCUCAUGGUGUCAUUUAUUUAAGUAUUGUAAGAACAAAGCCUUUGGCUAUAUUACCUUUCCCUGCUACAGAAGUGCUGUUAUAAAGUUAGCCAUGUUUCUGAACUUUAUAAUUAACAAAGUCCAGUAAAUAAGUGAUAUUUUCUGUUACAUAUUUGAAGCAGCAUUUCUGUGUGGUUACUGCCUACAUCGGCUACCUGAAAAUCAAGGAGAAGCUUAGUUGUUAGAGCUCACUGUAUUAUCUCUAUUAGACAGAACACCUAGGGAUGUACUGUCAAACCUUUGCUUAAAGACUGCUACGAACAGAAGACAUUUGGCUGUAGAUACCCUUUGUUUCAGUUCUAAUUUAAGCAUUUGCAGUAUAUUUUUACCAGUGAGUAAAGACCCUAUGCACACCACUUUUUUUUACUCUUCAGAGGGUGGUCUUUAUAAACAUCUUUUUCUAUAUAAUCUUCACUGCCUUUUUCAUAAUUAUUUCUGUAUUUAAUAUUAACAGUGCAUAACUUAUUUAAUACAUAUACACCUUUGAAUUACUGUACCUCAAUAUGGGAGAAUGAAUAAAUCACAGUUGGUAACUUGGUAUGCAUUUUUAGCUCACCUGUCACAAAGUGACGAGGUAAGCUUUUAUGAUCGUGCAGCGUCCGUCGUCCGCCCAUAUGUCCGUCCGUAAACUUUUGCUUGUGACCACUCUAGAGGUCACAUUUUUCAUGGGAUCUUUAUAAAAGUUGGUCAGAAUGUUCAUCUUGAUGAUAUCUAGGUCAAGUUCGAAACUGGGCCAUGUGCGGUCCAAAACUAGGUCAGUAGGUCUAAAAAUAGAAAAUCCUUGUGACCUUCCUAGAGGCCACAUUUUUCAAUGGAUCUUCAUGAAAAUUGGUCAGAAUGUUCACCUUGAUGAUAUCUAGAUUAAUUUUAAAACUGGGUCAUGUGCGGUCAAAAACUAGGUCAGUAGGUCUAAAAAUAGAGCAACCUUUUGACCUCUCUAGAGACCAUACUUUUCAAUGGAUCUUCAUGAAAAUUGGUGAAAAUGUUCACCUUGAUGAUAUCUAGGUCAAGUUCGAAACUGGGUCACGUGCAGUCAAAAACUAGGUCAGUGCAUCAAAUAAUAGAAAAACCUUGUGACCUCCCUAGAGGCCAUAUUUUUCAAUGGAUCUUCAUGAAAAUUGGUCAUAAUGUUCACCUUGAUGAUAUCUAGUUCAAGUUCGAAACUGGGUCACGUGCCUUCAAAAACUAGGUCAGUAGGUCAAAUGAUAGAAGAACCUUGUGACCUCUGUAGAGGCGAUAUUUUUCAUGGGAUCUGUAUGAAAGUUGGUCUGAAUAUUCAUCUUGAUGAUAUCUAGGUCAAGUUCGAAACUGGGUCAGAUGCAGUCAGAAACUAGGUCAGUAGGUCUACGUCGUCCGUGUGUAAACUUUUGCUUGUGACCACUCUAGUUUAAGAUCCAGCCUUGAAAUUUGGAUGACAUGUACAGUUUUGCACACCAAUCUUUAAACUGUCUUUCAGUGACCAUAAAUGUGACCUACUGAUCUACUUUCUAAUAUUUUAGCAUCAGUUUGCCAUUUGAAACUUGUGGUUCAAUAUACUCAGGUGAGCGAUUCAGGGUCAUCAUGACCCUCUGUUAUACUAAAACAUAGAAAUUAAUUCAUAAAAGUUAAUUACGAGUUAAACGGUUUAAAACAUGAAAAAUGUGUUUUCAGUAACAUUAAUAAACCAGCAAAAUCAUUUCAUCUAAUUGUAUAUUUACUGAAGAGCAAAAGAAACUAUCCAGUUUUAUAACUGGGGUAUUUUUUAUUCAAAAAUUUUAAUUUAUAAAUCACUUGUGUUUUUCAUAUCGCAUUACACUUGUAGAACUUCACGUGUAAAAUUUUAAAAAAUCAAUCAACCGUGAAGUCAGCAGUCUAACAAUAGCCGUUUUGCACGAAAUUCUCACCACCUGUAAUUUACAAUUUUCUUUGUGAAAUUUUAUUGUCAUUGUAAAUAUUGAUAAUUGGCUAACUCGAAAAAUAGCAUAAACUUUUAAAAAUGUUGUUGGUUGCACCGCACGACUGAAUCAAAUUUAGCACGAGCUCCCAAUUGGGAUGUUACAAUGCAACUGAUGCGCAAAAGAUAUAGCCUUUCAAAUGGCUAUUGUGGGACUACUGACUUCACGGUUGAUUGAUUUUAAAAAAUUUAUCACCUGAAGAUCUUCAAGUGUAAUGUUGGUAUGAAGAAACAAUUCAAAUUUGAGAAAUUAAUUUUAUUUCAAAAUAUACCAGUUAUACGUCUGGAUAGUUUCUUUUGCUGUUCAGUAUAUAUAUUUUUAAGGUAGUGUUGAAUCUCUGACACUGUUACCUUUUAAACUAUUUUACUGGAAAAAGAACCUUGGCUUCUGCUUCCACUAUAUAUUUGGUUGAGCAUGUGAUAUCUGAAUUUAUAGUUCACUUCUUCAGUCCUUACUGUAUAGGCAUUACACCUCAUGUUUUAUUACAUUACCAGGCUGUAUAUUAAUGAUUUAUUUGUUAUUUUGAAUUGUAUAUUUACGAAGCUCUGUGUAAGUAAAUGGUCAUAACCCUGUAAGUUAUUAUCCUGUACACUUUAUUUGUUAUUUGAUUAAUGUAUCGAUGUACUGAAAAUGAUUGAUAAAAAUUGCUUGGAAA
RNA transcript from Mercenaria mercenaria, 10222 nucleotides. It is a transcript of the gene named E3 ubiquitin-protein ligase UBR2-like, with no coding region annotated. The record is from RefSeq and is a predicted model, not a curated record. Lineage: Eukaryota; Metazoa; Mollusca; Bivalvia; Venerida; Veneridae. The transcript is spliced from 48 exons.